GUGGGGAAUCUUGCGCAAUGGGCGAAAGCCUGACGCAGCCAUGCCGCGUGAAUGAUGAAGGUCUUAGGAUUGUAAAAUUCUUUCACCGGGGACGAUAAUGACGGUACCCGGAGAAGAAGCCCCGGCUAACUUCGUGCCAGCAGCCGCGGUAAUACGAAGGGGGCUAGCGUUGCUCGGAAUUACUGGGCGUAAAGGGAGCGUAGGCGGAUAGUUUAGUCAGAGGUGAAAGCCCAGGGCUCAACCUUGGAAUUGCCUUUGAUACUGGCUAUCUUGAGUACGGAAGAGGUAUGUGGAACUCCGAGUGUAGAGGUGAAAUUCGUAGAUAUUCGGAAGAACACCAGUGGCGAAGGCGACAUACUGGUCCGUUACUGACGCUGAGGCUCGAAAGCGUGGGGAGCAAACAGGAUUAGAAACCCCGGUAGUCC
This 425-nucleotide ribosomal RNA is filed under the name uncultured bacterium. RNAcentral's name for it is "bacterial SSU rRNA". It matches the Rfam family "Bacterial small subunit ribosomal RNA", at positions 354 to 796 of the family's 1533-position model. The record is from RNAcentral.